This 907-nucleotide small RNA is filed under the name Cryptococcus neoformans H99. RNAcentral's name for it is "Cryptococcus neoformans var. grubii H99 hypothetical RNA". The record is from RNAcentral. Lineage: Eukaryota; Fungi; Basidiomycota; Tremellomycetes; Tremellales; Cryptococcaceae.
UAAGAAUAAAGCGAAUAUUCAAGAGAAAGAGAACGAAGACAACACUACCAGCUUCAUAUUCUACACCAUUACUUCUCCAAUCUGUUACACUCUCGGAAGAAACUGUUGCAGGCGCUCAGCCUAUUAUAUCUCAAACAAUGCCGUUCUUCCUUCCAUUUCUAUCACAAGCGUCGCAGUAGUACGUCUUCACUUUCCCGCACCAAAGUUUCUCCAGGCCCUGGGUUGCGCCCAGCUUUUCUGGCAUCUUUUCUCCGCAGUUUCUACAAUGAGGAUUUCUUCCCCAAACAGUCAUACGUCCACGCUUAUGGUACUUGCGACAAAUGGCGAACAUGAGUCCAAAGACAAUGAUAAAGAUGAUGGUCCCUACCAUCAGCCCUUGAAAGAAAUAUCAACGUAAGCCAAUUAGUUGGAACGAAAGUUAUGAGAUACUACUCACAGACCCACUUCUUGCCGGAGUCAUCCGAUAUAUCAUCGGUGUAAGCGCUGCUGGUUAUUGUCGUGACGGCCGUUGAGACGUCUGACAUGUUUGUAAGAUACAUGCGCUCACAGGCUCCAAUGUAUCAGCGAGAUUUGGCUACUGCUGUCAUUAUAUACAAAAUUCCCCCCUGCAUUCUGCGUAACAUCUGGUAUACCAAACAAGAAUCCUUUGAUGAUGACUUGGGCGCCUUCCUUUGAUGAGCACCUUCUUUUGAUAGCAGCGCUACAUCGACCAGGAGUGUAAUGACUGGUGACGGAACACCUGGGGAUAUGUAGAGGAUGUGACGGCGUCAUUCAUUCGACAUCAGCAAGCUUUGCUUCCAUGCCGAGUGAAAGGACAUAACCACGCCCUCUUAGGGGUACUUCUCACUUUAGUGCCAUCGGAUGCACAGUAGACACAGGUACAGAAUGCAUGCAAGCGUAGCAGGAC